RNAcentral lists this non-coding RNA (373 nucleotides) under Pan troglodytes (chimpanzee). The record is from RNAcentral. Lineage: Eukaryota; Metazoa; Chordata; Mammalia; Primates; Hominidae.
AAAUCAUCCAUGACUUCCUGCAAUGGAAGAUGAGGACACAGCUAAGUAUGAACAUUCAUCUUUUGAGGGCCACACAGGCACAAAUGUUACAGCUACAGGAGGAAAGAAGGUCACAACUAAGGAAAAGGGGCUGAGGGAACUCAAAAAAUACUGGAACUGGCAACAGAGACCACCAUCAAGGGAUAAAUUUACUUCAGCACCUACACACAAAACGCAGAGCAGCUGGAGAAAGGGGCAUGGGAAAAAAAGGCUGCUCAAGAGCAAACCUGAAGACCCUGUUUAUUAGCCAUUUCUCUCCCUGCAAGUGACUGGCAAUCCAUUUUGACUGAACUUGGGAUUCUGAGAUGCUCCGAAUGCCCUCUCUGGUGUUUUU